AGCGCAUACAUAACCACUUAUACAUUCUUAGGAGACAAAAUAAAAAUCAGAAAUAAUGGAGAGAAAAAUCCUUUUCAGCAUGCACUUCUUUCUCAUUAUUGUCUUAAUUGCUCAAGAAGCAGUGAUGCAAAUUGAUCAGUCAUGUGAGAUAAGAUGUAUUAGGUUUAAAGGUGCAUGCAAUGAUGAACUAGACGGCCAUGUUUGUAACAUUAUGUGCCUUUUGAUGAAUAAACUUAUAUCUAGUGGUUCCUGCAUAAAUGAUAAAUGCAUUUGUUAUACCUAACGUAUCCAAUAUAUAAUUAUAUUAUUAUACUAUAUA
Molecule: long non-coding RNA, 319 nt
Organism: Trifolium pratense (red clover)
Lineage: Eukaryota; Viridiplantae; Streptophyta; Magnoliopsida; Fabales; Fabaceae
Exons: 2
Source: RefSeq, a predicted model, not a curated record